GAUGAAGAACGCAGCGAAAUGCGAUAAGUAAUGUGAAUUGCAGAAUCCAGUGAAUCAUCGAAUCUUUGAACGCACAUUGCGCCCCCUGGUAUUCCGGGGGGCAUGCCUGUCCGAGCGUCAUUGCUGCCCUCAAGCACGGCUUGUGUGUUGGGCCUCCGUCCUCCUCCCGGGGGACGGGCCCGAAAGGCAGCGGCGGCACCGCGUCCGGUCCUCGAGCGUAUGGGGCUUCGUCACCCGCUCUUGUAGGCCCGGCCGGCGCUUGCCGACACAUCAAUCUUUUUUCCAGGUUGACCUCGGAUCAGGUAGGGAUACCCGCUGAACUUAAGCAUAUCAAUAAGCGGAGGA
Molecule: unclassified non-coding RNA, 345 nt
Filed under: soil metagenome
Description: partial contains 5.8S ribosomal RNA, internal transcribed spacer 2, and large subunit ribosomal RNA
Rfam family: 5.8S ribosomal RNA (bases 1-120)
Source: RNAcentral